Molecule: long non-coding RNA, 7866 nt
Filed under: Sorghum bicolor (sorghum)
Lineage: Eukaryota; Viridiplantae; Streptophyta; Magnoliopsida; Poales; Poaceae
Description: long non-coding RNA (SBIC_LNC004169)
Source: RNAcentral
GCGCAUGCUGCCGGCCUUUGCGUCGUGCUGCGCCGACCUGGUGAGCAGAUGGGAGGGUUUGGUGGCCGCGGCCGACGACGGCGAGCCAUGCGAGGUGGACGUCUGGCCGGAGAUGCAGAGGCUGACCGGGGACGUCAUCUCGCGCGUCGCCUUCGGCAGCAGCUACCUGGAAGGCAGGAGGAUCUUCGAGCUCCAGGAGGAGCAGGUGCACCUCGCCAUGCUCGUCGCCAACAAGAUACACAUCCCUGGUUACAUGUCAGUUCGCUCUCUAGCUCUGAUCAAACCGCAUUUUAAUCAAUUUGCUUGUUAAUUGCCACGGAAAAUUGAUGCAAAAUUUUUUUGAAAUUUUCUUGCGUGUAGGAUGCUGCCUACAAGGGUGAACCGGCGGAUGAAGCGGAUCGCGGCGGAGAUCGAAGGGAUCCUGAGAGGGAUGAUCGCCACGAGGGAGAGCUCGCUGAGAGCAGGCAAGGAGACGAGCGAUGACCUUCUUGGCCUGCUGCUGGAGUCCAACAUGGAGCGUUCAGGGGCUCCGGCGGCGGCGGCGGCGGCAUGUCGACCGACGACAUCAUUGGGGAGUGCAAGUUGUUCUACUUCGCCGGAAUGGGGACCACGGCGGUGCUCCUCACGUGGACCAUGGUGGUGCUCGCCAUGCACCAGGAGUGGCAGGACCGUGCCAGGGAGGAGGUGCUCCGCGUCUUCGGCGGCGCCUGCAGAUCAGUGCCGGACUACGACGGCCUCAGCCGCCUCAAAAUCGUAACACCUUCGUCAAUUUUUGCAUAGCAGGCUCUGAAUCUUUGAUUCAUCUGUGGAAUGUGAUGGUAAUCUUAAUCGCGAUCGAUCGCCAUUUCCAGGUGACCAUGGUGUUGUACGAGGUGCUGCGGCUCUACAUGCCGGUGUCGGCGUUGCACCGGCGGACAUACAAGCCCAUGGAGCUCGGGGGUGUCAGGUACCCGGCGGGCGUGAUACUGACGCUGCCGCUGCUGAGCAUCCACCACGACAAGGACGUUUGGGGGCCUGACGCCGACGAGUUCAGGCCGGACAGGUUCGCGGAGGGAAUCGCCAGGGCGGCGUCGUCCGGCGGGGACGCGCCGCCGGCGUUCUUCCCGUUCGGCUGGGGACCUCGGAGCUGCAUCGGCCAGACCUUCGCGCUGCUGGAGGCCAAGAUAGGGCUCGCCAUGAUCCUGGGGAAGUUCGCGUUCGAGCUCUCUCCGUCGUACGCGCACGCGCCGGUCCACGUCGCCUUGGUCCAGCCAGAGCACGGCGCGCAGGUCAAGCUCAGGAAGCUCCCAUGAGCUGCCUGUUGAUCAAGCUCAAGCUUCAGGCUAAGCCAUGGUCUAUUCUGCUAGUUUUUUCUCAGUUGCGUCAUCGUGCGUGAGCCCAUGUAUGUUGUGUCUGUGUGGCAUGCUUCUCUCGCGAACUGUACUCAUGAAGGCCGUAGAACCCCGGUGAAAGGCUGACAAUGCUUCUAUAUAUGUGCACUUGCGGCGCGAUCACAUAAAUUUAGCUGUAAACUUAUUCGGUCCUAAAAUGUGACCAUGGUAUUCGUGCCGGUUAAACUUCCAUAAGAUUGACUAAAUUUGUAGAAAUUAUUUAAUAACAACAUUUGUGAGGGAUAUUUUCUAGGAUGAGGAUGCCGAAGUGAUCCUUGCCUUGCCGGUCCAUAGGUAGAGAGCUAAUACCCUAGCCUGGCAUUUCGAUAAGCAGCUUACAUCUCAAAGUAGAAACGGAGGACAAGGUGGCAGCACUAACGAUAGGAAAGGUGUUUGGAAAGAAAUCUGGAAAUUGAAAUGUCCAAAUAAAAUCAAACACUUUUUGUGGCAGUUUACUCAUAACAGCCAACCAUUAAGGUACAAUUUAUCUCGACGGGGGAUGCUGAUUGACACAAGAUGCCCGAUGUGUGGGCAAAUGACUGAAGAUGGAGGUCUCCUCUUUUUCAAAUGCAAGUUGGUAAAGCAAAUAUGGCGAAUUCUGAAUUUGGAAAAUGAACAUGAAACACUAGCUGCUAUCCCUGACACUUGCGGUGUUGUGGAAUGGAUUCUAAAACAGUGAGAACCAAAGAGAGACUUUAUGGUUAUUACUCUCAGUAUCUGAGAGGAGGGGCGUCGGAGGCCAGCCGCAGUGAUAGGCCGUUGCAUUGAGUUAUGUACGUAUGAGAAUGUGCAGCAAGUCACUAGUGGCCUGGGCCGGACGGAGCAACGCAGACAGAGGUGGGUAAGACCACCAGAAGAUGUGCUGAAGAUCAAUUGUGAUGGAUCUUUCCACCCAACUGAAAAAGUCGGUAGCUGGGGCUUUCUGAUUCGAGACAAAGAUGGUGAUGUGGUAAUGGUGGGAAGAGCCAAGAUCAACAACCUGUUGAAUGCCUUCCAAGCUGAGCUAGUCGCCUGUCUAUAGGGGAUGCAAACUGCUAUUGAUCUGGGCAUUGGACAUAUCAUCCUGGAAACUGAUGCACAUGAAAAAAGUGAGAGCUCUGAAUUCAAAAAGCAUAUGAUAGUUCUGCUGUUGGCCACCUAGUCGAGGAGAUAAAGUUCCUUUCAAGCUCAAAUGUUAUGAGUUUUGAGUGUGUUCAUGUGGAUAGAUCAUGUAAGGCCAAUUUUAUUGUAGGACACUAGAAAAAAACUAUAAUUGGCUACUGCACACCGCAAACUGCGAAAUAUGCUAGGUACCAUUAUAAAUUUGUGGUUCUUUGCCGAGACACACCAUGCUGAUUAUUUUAUUAAUUUCUCAGAUUGUAGGAGAGAGAAAGUUGGUGAAUUGUUUUCUUUGUCCCCGUCUUCAACCUCCAACACUUUGCCGAUAUUUUCCAUAGCAUGGAGGUGAGAAUCACGUCAAGAAGCAUCACACCACUUUCCAUCUCUCUUGUUUGCUCUGUUCAGCCAAAGGAGGCGUCGUUGUUGUGCAUGUAGCAAGCCACCGUAGCUAUUUUUCCACUGGCAAGAACCACAUGGAGAACCAAUGGUGUAGGCGGGCGGGUGGUUGGAGGAGGAAAUGGAUGAAUUGGCGGCAGCAGUGUGUUAUGGCAAUUGGCGGCAGCAGUGUGUUACGGCAAAUAUCAGCAAAGGGCUGGAGGUUGAAGACAAGGGCAAAGAAGACAUUUCACCAACCUUCUCUCCUAAAAUCAGAAAAAUUAAUAAAAUAAUUGACGCGGUGUGUCUCGAUAAAGAACUAAAAUGCACUGUGUAGUGGCCAAUUAUAGCUUUUUCUAGUGCCCUACGGCAAAAUUGGCCAUCAUGUAAUGAGGCCACUCACGAGCUACUUUUUUUUUUUGACAAAAAAAAGAUUGGAGGAGGAAAUGGAUGAAUUGGCGGCAGCAGUGUGUUAUGGCAAAUAUCAGCAAAGGGCUGGAGGUUGAAGACAAGGGCAAAGAAGACAUUUCACCAACCUGAUCUCUCUCAUAAAAUCUGAAAAAAUAAUAAAAUAAUCAGCGCGGUGUGUUGUGUAGUGGCCAAUUACAGUGCCUUACGGCAAAAUUGGCCAUCAUGUAAUGAGGCCACUCUCGAGCUGCCUAAAUUGGGUUAUCUCCUGAGGGUGAGGAGAUCCUUUUCUUCUCUAUACCUGAUGACAUUUGUGUAAUCGUCGAUAACGAUUUGUUAGAGCAUCUCCAACAGUUAUGCAAUUGGACUUUGCAUUUUUGAAAUUUGCUAAAAAUCUUAAAAAUUGCUCUCCAACAGUUUUGCAUUUGACUUAUGCAUUUUGGCAAACUUGGCAUUUGAUGGACCAAACUUGGUAUUUUUGCAUAGGCACAAUGGCUUGACAAUUUUGAUAUCCCGAGAAUCUUGAACUCCUUGUCGUAUCCGUACUCCCCAUGUCGCGAUAGUUUCUCACGAGACGUGUCCUCCCCGUGCGCGACUCUUUUCUUUCCCCCGCGCGCCGCCUUCUUUCAUCGCGCGGGCGAACACGGACGAACCUGGGACUGUUGCCUCGAUCGAUGAACACGGCCGCGCGACGCGCGAGAGAAUUGGCGGCGACGGGCGAAGGAAUUGUGCACGAAAAAGAAAACGCCCGCGCGAUGCGCGAGAGAAUUUCCUGCGAAGAUGAAAGAUUCCCGGACAAAAAUAGUUGGGUCUUUGGUAAAUGGCAAGUCAAAAAUGCCAAACACUUGGAGAUGAACUUAUUUUUUCUUUGGCAAAACGUUUAGGGACUUGGCAAACUCCAACAAAUGACAAAUUUCAAUUGCAUAACUGUUGAAGAUGCUCUUAGGUAAUGAUUAAUGAAUUUGCCUAGUAUAAAAAAAGCAAGUUUAUUAGGACAGAUUAGUACUAAAGAGAAAGGAACAUACUACCCUUCAUAAAGUGGAGUAGUUGCACACGGAUCAAUGAUUGUUCCUGUAACAAAUUAAUUAUAUUACUCCUUCUAUCCCAAAUUAUAAGUCAUUUCAAAAAUUUUAGAAAGUCAAAGCAUCUUAAGUUUGACUAAAAUUAUAAAAAAAAUUAUAAAAUUUUGUAACAUCAAAUAGAUAUACUACGAAAAUAUAAUUAAUGAAGAACCUAAUAAUACUUAAUUGAUAUCAUAAAUGUUAUUAUCCUACCAUACAAAUUUGGUUAAAUUUGGGAUGUUUUGAUUCUCCAAGAUUCUUGGAGUGACUUACAAUUUGGGAUGGAGGAAGUAUUUACUACACAUCCAACUGCAAAAACUCAACACUGAAUUGAGAGAUAGGAGGGUGCAGUAAAUACGAGGAGAUUUCAAAGAAAAUAAAUGGGUUGACGGACUGUUCAGCCUCAUAGAGAUUGAUCUAUUUGUAGAUAAAUUCUUGAGCUACAAAUUUAUGUAUUCAGAGAUAGAAAGAGUAUUAUAUAUGACCAUUUGAUAAUACAAAUCUAAACAUGUCAAGGUUAUAUUAUAAUAGUUAAAAUGUUAUUGACUAAAUUAUUAUAAAAAUGUAAAGUUUGAAUCUUAACAUACAUGUGCGCCAUAUAAUCUGAAUCAGAGGGUGUAUCACGUUAUAAAUCCACAGAUGAAGAGUAUCAAAUUUGAGAAUGCUUGUUCCUGGACUUCUAGAUACGAUUUCUAAAAGAUGCACUACUUCCAAAUGUAUGCAAGAGAAUUGCGUAGGACAUCACACGUUUUCAGAAUCUCCGAGGGUAUCAUCCAUUCACCGCUGGUCCAACGGUCCACGGGCGUAGUAGUGACUAGUGAGUCCCUUUCCCCUUGUCGGCCUCGAAUUGUAUCGGUGGUGGUGAAUUCGUGGAGGCAGACAUAGGCCUCGUCGGCGGCUGGUCUUCAAUUCUACUCAUGCUGGUGUAUAAUAUUAGAAACAACUCAUAGGGUUUUUUAAUAUCUAUAUAAAAAAUACUCUCGAGCAGCCUAAUUAGAUUUGUGAAUAUAUAGCUAUCAUCCAUUCUAGAUUUCUUGUUGGGAGAAGAUAAAGUACAAGACUGGUUUUCUAUAGUCCGUACAAGAUAUAGACAAGCUAUUGGUUGAUGAAAAGAUAUAUAAAAGGUUUUUUAUUUUGAUGGUUUCUAAAUGAUAAUUUAAAGAGUAACUUUCUGGGAGACACUUAUAGAUACUCACUCUCUCCAUCUUAAAAUAGAAUAAUAUUUUUUUGCUUUAUAGAUAAAAAAGAGUUUUUUUAUAACCCACUUGUUUUAUUUUAACAAAUUCUAUAUGAAGAUGUCCACUGAAGAGAAAAUAGAUCUGAUUCUCUUAGCCUUGAACUUUGGAAAUAAAAAAGAAUUUUCUCAUUUUUUAACAUUAAGAAAAAAGAAUACUUUUCUACUAAAUUCAUUCAUUUCUUUUUUGAAAUGUCUUUUUUCUGUAAUUUUAUGACUUAGUUUAGUGCGAGAUGCCUACAUUCUUUGUCUGAACACUAAACGAAGCGCAGAGUUAAAAUUACAAAAAAAAAACAGACUACAUAUCUUGUUUUUAGAAGUCAUAUAAACACUUAUGUCCUUAAAUAAAUAUCAUUAACUAUAAAACAUAUUUUCAUAAUAAAUCUAUUUGGAGCCAUAAAACUUUAUUAAUAUUCUUUUAUAAAAUUAAAGAGGUUUGGCUCAAUCUAAAUCUACAGUGAUAUAUUUCUCGAAAAAAUGUAUAUUUUCUAGACGGAGCUGGUAGUAUAUAUAUAUAUAUUUUUUUGAAAAAAUGGAGCUGGUAGUAUAUAUGACCUGCAAGUGUGACAUACAGAUCAAAGACGCUUUUUUCCCCUUGAGAGCAUGUGCUCUUAGCAUAGAUCAUUUGAUUUACAUUAAGAAGCGUGUGUGCAUACAUCUUAGUAUAGAUUUACAUUAAGAAAUAUGCACGUACAUGUUUCAAUGUAAAUCUAAUGAUCAAUGUUCUAAAACACACAUGUUCUUGAGGGCACAUUUUACUUUCCCCGUACAGUUCAUGCUCAUGCCGCUCUGCUUUUAUUCUGUCCCUUUCUCACGGAGCAAAGAUUAGUCGUCACGCGCCAGCAGGAAGACUACACGCCCUCCUCUGCCUCUAUAAGACGGCGGCGAUGGCGAGCAGCUCUUGGCGUUCGAUCUCCCCUUCCGCCGCACAGCAGUCCAGAGAGUGACGAGCCUAGUUUUCUUCGGAGCCGAGCCAUGGCGACGAGCGUGCCAGUGGGAUUGCUCGGCGAGGCUCCAUCCCCGUGGAACGUGCAGCAGCAGCUGCUGCUGCCGCCGCUGUGCGCGGCGGCCGUCGCCGUCGUCGCGUGGUGCGCCGCGCGCGCGGCGGAGUGGGCGUGGCUGAGGCCACGGCGCCUUGAACGGGCGCUGCGGGCGCAGGGCCUCCGUGGCACGGCGUACCGCCCGCUGUCCGGCGACGCGCCGCUGUCCGACCGGCUCGCCCGCGAGGCCAGGUCCAGGCCGCCGCUGCCGCCGGGCUGCCACGCCGUCGUGCCCAGGGCCAUGCCGCUCGUCCACCACGCCAUGAACGAGCACGGUAACUUCUCUCUCACUCUUCGUCGCGUUGCGUUAUCGUUGACAGUAACUGUCGACCUAGCCUUGUUUAGUUCGGCGCCUUAGGCCUUCCACCAAAAAAAUUAAAAACUUUUCAAGAUUUCUUAUCGCAUCAAAUCUUACGGCACAUGCAUUAGACAAUCUUCCAACUAUAUUAUUAAAACAAAAACUAAUUGCACAGCCUGUAAAUCGCGAGACGAAUUUUUUAAGUCUAAUUACUUCAUGAUUAGAUAAUAUUUGACAAAUAAAAACGAAAAUGCUACCGUGUCAAAAUCUAAAAACUUUUUGGGUGUAAAUAAGGCCAUAGCUUGCCGGUCUUACCACGGCAAGGAACCAACGGUCUGUGUUUCACUCUCAUGUCUCGAUCAUGAUCAUGACUGGCAGGCAAGACCUCGGUGACCUGGUUCGGCCCGACGCCGAGGGUGAUCGUCACCGAGCCGGAGCUGGUGCGCCAGGUCCUGUCCAACAAGUUCGGCCACUUCGAGAAGGCCGGCUUCGGGCAGCUCACGCGGCUGCUGCACCACGGCGUGAGCACCCACCAGGGUAGCAAGUGGGCCAAGCACCGGAGGAUCAUCAUUCAUCAACCCCGCCUUCCAUCUCGACAAGCUCAAGGUCUCAACCAGUCAACUAAACCCCUGUCCCCGAGGCAUGCAUACAUCAGGUCGUCAGAGCAUGUUCGCUUGUCUGAAAAGUCAACUAAUGUUGAGCUUUUCGAUCGAUUCUUGCAGCGCAUGCUCCCGGCCUUUGCGUCGUGCUGCGCCGACAUGGUGAGCAGAUGGGAGGGUUUGGUGGCCGCGGCCGACGACGGCGAGCCAUGCGAGGUGGAUGUCUGGCCGGAGAUGCAGAGGCUGACUGGGGACGUCAUCUCCCGCGUCGCCUUCGGCAGCAGCUACCUGGAAGGCAGGAGGAUCUUCGAGCUCCAGGAGGAGCAGGUGCACCUCGCCAUGCUCGUCGCCAACAAGAUACACAUCCCUGGUUACAUGUCAGU